GCCCUACGGGGCGCAGCAGUGAGGAAUAUUGGUCAAUGGCCGAGAGGCUGAACCAGCCAAGUCGCGUGAGGGAUGACGGCCCUACGGGUUGUAAACCUCUUUUGUCGGGGAGCAAGACCCGCCACGAGUGGCGGAGCGAGAGUACCCGAAGAAAAAGCAUCGGCUAACUCCGUGCCAGCAGCCGCGGUGAUACGGAGGAUGCGAGCGUUAUCCGGAUUUAUUGGGUUUAAAGGGGGCGCAGGCGGCCCAUCAAGUCAGCGGUAAAAUCGUGGGGCCCAACCCCAUCCCGCCGUUGAAAAUGGCGG
Molecule: ribosomal RNA, 305 nt
Filed under: uncultured bacterium
Lineage: Bacteria
Description: bacterial SSU rRNA
Rfam family: Bacterial small subunit ribosomal RNA
Source: RNAcentral